This 460-nucleotide ribosomal RNA is filed under the name uncultured bacterium. RNAcentral's name for it is "partial 16S ribosomal RNA". It matches the Rfam family "Bacterial small subunit ribosomal RNA", at positions 338 to 795 of the family's 1533-position model. The record is from RNAcentral.
CCUACGGGUGGCAGCAGUGAGGAAUAUUGGUCAAUGGACGAGAGUCUGAACCAGCCAAGUAGCGUGAAGGAUGAAUGCCCUAUGGGUUGUAAACUUCUUUUAUAUGGGAAUAAAAUGUUCCACGUGUGGGAUUUUGUAUGUACCAUAUGAAUAAGGAUCGGCUCACUCCGUGCCAGCAGCCGCGGUAAUACGGAGGAUCCGAGCGUUAUCCGGAUUUAUUGGGUUUAAAGGGAGCGUAGGUGGAUUGUUAAGUCAGUUGUGAAAGUUUGCGGCUCAACCGUAAAAUUGCAGUUGAAACUGGCAGUCUUGAGUACAGUAGAGGUGGGCGGAAGUCGUGGUGUAGCGGUGAAAUGCUUAGAUAUCACGAAGAACUCCGAUUGCGAAGGCAGUUCACUGGACUGCAACUGACACUGAGGCUCGAAAGUGUGGGUAUCAAACAGGAUUAGAUACCCCUGUAGUC